This 345-nucleotide long non-coding RNA is filed under the name Monodelphis domestica (gray short-tailed opossum). Its description in RNAcentral is "lncRNA (ENSMODG00000036812.1)". Lineage: Eukaryota; Metazoa; Chordata; Mammalia; Didelphimorphia; Didelphidae. The record is from RNAcentral.
ACCAGAAGCUUGGGAUAACGACUCUGUGUUGGCUCCUAACUUUUUGGGCACAGAAUUCAUAAAAAGAGAAGCUAGCAGCCUGCCCUUGUGCUCUCACUAGAAAUUUAUUUUACCUGAUCGUACAUGCCCAGAUUAAAUUGCUUACCAUCUCAGAGAAGGUGGAGGAAAGAGAGAAAGGGAGAUCAUUUGCAACUUGUAAUUUCAGAAAGAAAUCAAGGUUAAUGGCAGUUGAAACAGCAAGCAAAUAGAUGCUAGAAAUCUUUAGGCAACAAAAAACAUUGUUUCAUGGGCUGCUUGGUCCACUCAUACUGCAUUGCUAUUGUAAAGCAUUUCCAAAGGGAUAAC